ACAAGACCAUCUCCUUGACUGAGUUCCAGCCAGGCUCCUUGGAGCCUCUCCACUCGGCCUCAACUUUGGCUUGUAAAGACUUGAGCAGACACUAACAGUGUCUAACAGCUUCUGGCCGCACCCCUAGGCCGACCCCUGCCCCGUCAACACCUGCCUGAGAAAGCUCCGUACACCAGAACUGACUGUUUGCUCCAACCCCGACCUCCCUUUCUCAGGGCGUCUGCUGAAAGGCCUGCGACCACACGUCCUUCUGUCCGUUCCCGAUGUCUGUGCAUUUCCUGUGACCCAGGAGGGCCUUUCUCGGGACCUGAGAGCCACUCCCUGAAGUGUCCCCAUUGGGAAGAUGGGGCUGGUGUCUCCAGGCUCUGGGAGGACAGAAUCCUGACCUCAACAGUGGCCAGCACGGACACAGCGGGCCCCAUCCCAGCGACACUGACCAGCGCUGGGCAACUUUUCCCUUUCCUGACGACUGAGCCCCGAGCACCCUCCCUGCUCCCUGUACCUUCUCCCUUUACAAGGCUGUCGCCUCUGCACAGACGAAGGCCUGGGAGGAUCCAUGUCUGCGGUGCGAGCCGCCCCUCUGUGGUCCUGAGCUGACUCACAUACAUCUGACACCCACCUCUUGAUUCUGGAAGGCCCUCUGUGUGGCUCUGCCUGGCCAGCCUGAGCCAGCUCCCAGGCCUCAACCCAGCUUGUCCUGGAAGCCCUGCCCCAGCAGAGUGACCAGGGCAGGCAGCACCGUGCCCAGUAGGAGGAGAAACUGCAUCCAUGUAGGCAAGAGGAGAAGCCCCGGGGGUCCAUGUAGCGACAGGGGCCAGGGAGGGCCGCGUGGGCAGUGCGUGUGGCUGCAGGAGGCUGGGGUCGUGUGCAGGGAGCCCCCGAGGUGCAGCUCGACCAGCCGCCUCCCGACUCUGCUUCCCACCGGGCGCAGGACGCGUGUGAACACAGGAAGGCUGCUCCCAUCACAAAGUACAAGACUUAAAAAGGAUAUUUUAUUGUCAUCAAAAACGAGAAACAUUAAAGACGAUUAAUGAGCUUUAGAAAAUUUAAAAGAAGAAAAAAGCGACCAAAGCUGAAAUCGUGGCACCUCCUUCCAGUGAGCCCGGGAAUCCUCCCUGACGGCUGAGGCAGGCGCUUGCCGCGCUCCCGCUCGUGCCUCCCAUCCUGUCUGCGGAUUCUGUGUGACAUUCACCGAACGGCGUGACGCGGGCAGCAGAGCGUGGGAGCCUCUGUCCAGCAGUCGUGGCCAGCAGCCCCGCUUUCCCAAGGCCACGGGCACCCUCUUUG
RNAcentral lists this long non-coding RNA (1287 nucleotides) under Piliocolobus tephrosceles (Ugandan red Colobus). RNAcentral's name for it is "lncRNA (ENSPTEG00000011483.1)". The record is from RNAcentral. Lineage: Eukaryota; Metazoa; Chordata; Mammalia; Primates; Cercopithecidae.